AGUUUCUGCUGAACAUUGCACAGAACAGACUCAACUGCAUACAAACACAAUGGCUCUGUUGAGUUUAGAGAUUCUCUGCUGAACUUCUCAAAUUUCAAAGAUUCCAGCACACUAAAAUUCAGUUUUCUUGCAGCCAGAACUGAAGAUGCUGGAUUGAUACGCAUGAAAAACAAAACAAAAAAACAAGCAGAAAAUCCCCAUGAACUUGUAACAUAAAUCAGGCCCUGCCUGUAUAUUACAAAGUUGGUUGAGGGAAGGAGGAGAGUGGUGGUGGUUGGGGUUUUUUUUUUCCUCUCUCUCUUUCCCCUAACACUAAUUAGGUUUGAAAGACUGCAGCUUGAGUCCAGAUACCACAUGCCGAGAACAAAGGAACCCAAACAGCUGACGCAGAGUUCAGACUAAACUAACUGCAGGCUCCCCAGGGACAUCACAAGUUCUGUACCUGUGCGGAUGCAUGUGUGUGAAUGGCACUAGCACCUCUGCGCAUCUCUGUGCUUCACUGAAGGCAGCACAACAGAGUGCAGAAGGUUCCCCCCCAUCCAGUCCCGGGAUACACCAGAAGGGGAUGAAGAAAGAGAUGUGCAUCCAUCUAUGAUCCAAACUUCCUGAAUAAAUUCAGUUGUUCCAGUGAAAGACAAAUGAACAAGUUCAUACUGCUCUGAAUAGCAACAAGGUGACUGCUUGCCAGCGUGUAAAAUCUGGUAUUGUCCCUCCUGGAGUCAGAACUUGACCUUAAGAAAAUUCCUGCCCGUUUCUCCGAGGGAACAUGUCCUUGUGCUGCUGCAGAAGCCUGUUUGCCACAGGGAGACAGGCAGAACAACGGGCGCAGGAGGAAAUCUCUGAAUCACAAAGAUGUCACCCAAGGAGCGGCGUGCCACCAGUCUCUGUUCAGCACUGUGUUUUCCUGCAAUGUACCAUUUUCACUGCACUGUUUUGAAGCACAUCUCACCUGUCCCCUCCGAUUAUGGCAGAAUGAAAAUAACACGAAGCAGCAGGAGCGAGGCUGGCUGCCCCAGGUCUUGGCUGCGGGAUGGUAAACACAUGGUGCCGUUCUCUGAGCUGGGGAAAGGGACAGAGAAGAAUUCCGAAAACAUCACCCGAGCAGCCUUCUUCUGAAAAAAAGUGCAGAGAGGAGAGUCGCUAACCACCCCCUCCACUCUGAGGGACACUGACAAGCAGACCAAAGGAGGGAUGAGUGGGACCAUGUUGGAAAAGAAGUCAGAAGCCUGGCCGAAACCAGCCAGAGCCCUCAAACUGCUCAUGGUUUCACCCUGGCUAAUACAGAAUGAUGCCUUGCUCCUGCAGCUGCAACCAGCUUAGCUGAGGAAGCGCAGAGAUAAAAGCAGCGCUUGAGAACCAGCUCUGAAGAGCCAUAAAAAUCACAAGCACAGAAGAGAGAAAAUCUCCAUUAAAGUCAGAGCAUAAUUAUAACUCACUCAUUGGCUGGGGGCUUUGCAGCCCCAGUUGCUGGAGAUCCCCCUGCCCUCCGCCGGGAGCUCCCUGGAUCUGCCAGGGCUUUGAAGCAAGAGCGAGGGUGCCUGAGCCCCCGGCUGCUCGGCACAAAGCGGAGAUAAUUCCCUGGAUGAGGGUGAUGAGACAAGUUUCGGCCCAGCAAGGGAUUUCUUUGAAGCCUGCCUGGGGAAGGAGGCGCAGACCGGGCAGUUACCGACACAGCAUGCUGCAGUCUAGCUCCGCUCGCUCGCGGAAAGAGGAUGAUGCUUCCUAAACCCUGGAAUGACACUCGUACCAGCUUCUCCUCUAGGGGCUCCUUGGCGAGGACCUGUCAGGUAUGAAAGCACGCAGGACCCCCUGGCAGCCAGCCGGGCGAAGCGGGGACCCCCGGGGUCCCCCGGCAGGAGCACGCGGCGACCGGGGACAGCGCGGGAGGCAGAGGGAGAAAAGCUAAGGUGAGGUGUCGCAGUGGAAGGAUGGGAGCCAGAUCCCCCAGUAAAACCUAACAGCUUUUGAAAGGCAGCAAAGAACGCAAAAUAAUCCUCAAACCUUAAUGAGACCCAUAAGUAAACCCUGGCUGUAUUUGCCUUCCCAGCCCUGGAUGUGCCUGAAAUCCCACCUGGGAAUGUGUUUGUAAAAGCCCCGUUUGUCUGAACAUCUCAAAGACACUCCUGAGGUUGCAGUGGGACGGAGGAUGCUCACAGCUGUUUCUCUGUGGCCGGCCAUGGCAGCGGGGUGCAGGACGCUCACUCCUGUUUCUCCACUGGGGAUAUGAGCUCAGAGUCACCACGUUUCAGCUCUGCAGGGAAACUUUGCAUGUCCCAUGUCCCGGCUGCGGGCACUGACCCAAGCCCAGCAGCCGCGGGGAGGGUACACUGGUGGUACCCACCGCGCCAGGCGCAGCCUUGCCUUGCCCUGGGUCAGGGUGAGGCGAGAAGCAGCCCCCACAGACAGCCCCGUGUGUACGUGCCGAUGGACGGUGACAGUGACGGCUGAACAACCCAUCCAUCCCCCCCAGGAUCUGUACUAGCUCAUGUAGUAAAGUCUGCUUUGGAUAUACUGUCGGCUUGUUUCAGGAGGGCUUAGUAAAACAAUGGAAGAGUUACUCUGCAAUCUAAUGGAGUAAAAAAAAAAAUAUCCUAUAGUGCAUCAUGAAUAGUCCAAAAUGCAAAGAUGACAAUUUAAGUGUUUAAAAUGUACUCAAGGUAAUUCCAAACAAAUUUUAAAGCCAUUUCAGACUAUAAAACCCCUCAGCUAAAUCAUUGGUUAUAUGGUGGCGGUGCUUAUGUUGCAAAAUAUCCCCAGCAUGAAAGGGAAAGUUUAAAAAAUUGCCGGUUAAUCCUUAUAAAUUACUUAUUAGUAUUGCAAAGCUGGAGCUGGAGGAGCCUUCCAAGUGAAGGCCGUGCUGUUUGGUCACUUCUUGCCCGGCUCUGUGAGGAGCACUUGGGGGCUGGCUUUGAUUUGUUGGGCUCUGCGAAGGCAUUGAUGUGCUUCCAGAGUGUUGCAUCAGCGCUGAUGUCAUGGCACGGCUCUGGCUUCAUCCCUCCCGCUCCUGCGAGAGCCUCCCCCUCCUCCUGGCCAUUUCAAGGAAGCCACAAAGCUCGGGCUGUCCCUGCUGCAGCCACCCUGACGGCUCUCGCAAUCCCUCUCAGCAGCUGGGGGGAGUUGCCCCCCAGGGA
Molecule: long non-coding RNA, 3131 nt
Organism: Falco peregrinus (peregrine falcon)
Lineage: Eukaryota; Metazoa; Chordata; Aves; Falconiformes; Falconidae
Exons: 7
Source: RefSeq, a predicted model, not a curated record